GCACUGUUUGAGGCUGACUUAUCUGCCCUGUGUGCCAUGGAGACCAGAUGGAGAGCUGUGGACAGGCGUGUGUCCUGCUCUGGUUCCAUGUUGGUUCAAAUGCCCAUCUGCAAGGCAGAGGGGAUACACGAGAGGAGCAGCCUCCUGCCCUGCUUCCCUGUGCUGCUCUCUCCUGCACAGCGCUGCUCACCGUGUUGCUGGUCUGAAAAUGGUUUGCUUGGCC
Molecule: long non-coding RNA, 223 nt
Filed under: Gallus gallus (chicken)
Lineage: Eukaryota; Metazoa; Chordata; Aves; Galliformes; Phasianidae
Source: RNAcentral